AAGGCUUAACACAUGCAAGUCAGGGGCAGCAUAUUGGUAGCUUGCUAUCAAUGAUGGCGACCGGCGCACGGGUGAGUAACGCGUAUCCAACUUCCCCAUAGUAGGGCAUAGCCCGUAGAAAUGCGGAUUAAUACCCUAUGUUUUCCGAAGAUGACAUCUGAUUCGGAACAAAGGUUCACCGCUAUGGGAUGGGGAUGCGUCUGAUUAGGUAGUCGGCGGGGUAACGGCCCACCGAGCCGACGAUCAGUAGGGGUUCUGAGAGGAAGGUCCCCCCACAUUGGAACUGAGACACGGUCCAAACUCCUACGGGAGGCAGCAGUGAGGAAUAUUGGUCAAUGGGCGCGAGCCUGAACCAGCCAAGUAGCCGUGCAGGAUGACGGCCCUAUGGGUUGUAAACUGCUUUUAUACAGGGAUAAAGUCGGGGACGUGUUCCCCGUUUGCAGGUACUGUAUGAAUAAGGACCGGCUAAUUCCGUGCCAGCCGCCGC
RNAcentral lists this ribosomal RNA (487 nucleotides) under uncultured bacterium. RNAcentral's name for it is "bacterial SSU rRNA". It matches the Rfam family "Bacterial small subunit ribosomal RNA", at positions 43 to 518 of the family's 1533-position model. The record is from RNAcentral.